UAAAAAACAUGGCCUUUUGAUUAUAAUUUAAGGUCUAGCCUGCCCACUGAGUAUUUAAAUGGCCGCGGUACACUGACCGUGCAAAGGUAGCAUAAUCAUUAGUUUUUUAAUUGAAAGCUGGAAUGAAAGGCUGAACAAGAAAAUAACUGUCUCUAUUUAAUAUCUAGAAUUUUAUUUUUAAGUAAAAAAGCUUAAAUGUUAUUAAAAGACGAGAAGACCCUAUAGAGUUUAAUAUUUUUUAUUGUAUAAAUUUUUAGAAUUAUUACUUUGUAUUUUAAAAUCUAUUUAGUUGGGGAGAUUGAAAAAUUUAAUUAACUUUUUUUUUAUUGCUACAUUGAUUAAUGAGUUAUUGAUCCAAUUUUUUUGAUUAUAAGAUAAAAUUACCUUAGGGAUAACAGCGUAAUCUUUCUUGAGAGUUCUAAUCGAAAGAAGGGUUUGCGACCUCGAUGUUGGAUUAAAAUUAAUUUUUGGUGUAGAAGCUAAGAAUAUUAGGUCUGUCGACCUCAUA
Molecule: ribosomal RNA, 508 nt
Filed under: Leptura aethiops
Lineage: Eukaryota; Metazoa; Arthropoda; Insecta; Coleoptera; Cerambycidae
Also listed under: 1 other name
Description: partial 16S ribosomal RNA
Rfam family: Bacterial large subunit ribosomal RNA
Source: RNAcentral